CAUGCAGGCGGUUACAUAAGUCAGGUGUGAAAUCCCCGCGCUUAACGUGGGCAUUGCAUUUGAAACUAUGUAGCUAGAGUUCUGUAGAGGGGGGUAGAAUUCCAGGUGUAGCGGUGAAAUGCGUAGAGAUCUGGAGGAAUACCGAUUGCGAAGGCAGCCCCCUGGGCCUGCACUGACGCUCAUGCACGAAAGCGUGGGGAGCAAACAGGAUUAGAUACCCUGGUA
RNAcentral lists this ribosomal RNA (225 nucleotides) under uncultured Thorsellia sp. RNAcentral's name for it is "partial 16S ribosomal RNA". It matches the Rfam family "Bacterial small subunit ribosomal RNA", at positions 568 to 792 of the family's 1533-position model. Lineage: Bacteria; Pseudomonadati; Pseudomonadota; Gammaproteobacteria; Enterobacterales; Thorselliaceae. The record is from RNAcentral.